AUGUUUUGCUUUUUACUUUAUAUUAUGCAUAGUUUGGGAUACAUAAUAUGCAUAUAAAGAGAAUACAAAUAUUACCUACAUAUUAAAAUCUUAUAAGAAGGCAAAAUAAAGCCACGAGUCAAUAUAAUUUCAAUACCAUGUAACCCAAUGAUCAAUACUAACAUCUUUUUCUGAGACUACUCCACAGUUUUCCAAGUGGUCAAAUAGUAUUAGUUCUUGUCUGCUUCCAAUCAGUUCUUGUCUGCUUUCAUCCUCAUUGCAGCUAGAGGAAUAUUUCUGAAACACACAUAUGAUCAUAUAGUAUUUUCUGCUUAAAAGACUUUCACGGCUUUCCAUUUAAUUUUAAGACAAAAAAUAUAUAUACUUCUUUAAACACAGCUCAAAAAUCUCUGCAAGAGUUUAUAUUUAUUCACUUCUCAAACCUCAUCUUUGUUUUUACUCCAGAUCCCCCUAACCACAGAAAUUCUGUACUCGUGAUUACUUCCACCUCUAGGUUUGCUUAGAUGGAAUUAACAUCUUCAUAUCUAUACCCAAGUCUAAUCAUUUCCGAAGACAACACUUCUUCGUCCUCCCUGAGUAUAUCGAUACCUUAAUAGGUGCUUGUGUGGUACCAAGUAUCUUUCAUUCGUGGCACUAGCUACCUUUGUGAUGUUACAUUUACUUGAAUGGCUAUCUGAUUAAUAUCAGCCUUCCUCUCUAAACUCUAAACUGUAGGAUGACUCUUACAGGUUAUGUUUCUAUUUUUUUUUUGUCAUUAUUUAAGCAAGUCUCAGGCAUGAUUUGUACUUACAGUUAUUAAGCUAAUUAACUGUCUUUUUUUUUUCUUUUCUGUUAAGAACCCUGAAAAUAAAGCACACAGUAGAACCCUAGGGAUUAGGCAAAAAAAGCAGACAGGACUAGGGUACAUUUGCAUGGUAACUAUUGAAGAAUAGAAAGGGAACACAGAGAAUUCCACAGCAGAGUAAAGGAAGAGAAAUACUAGAGGAGGUGAUUUUAGGAAUAAAAUGGUAGGUUUCUGUAUUUGAUACAUGGUCAAUGAAGAGAACAGGUAACAACUAGGAAGAAUCAAUUCUGUUGUGAAUCCGGUUUUUUUCACGUGAGUAAACAAACUCUAACCGUGCCUUCCCUACAUUUCACAUUUUCCAAUGUGUGCUGCAUGUGAGGAAAACAACCUGCUUAGACUGGUCUUAAAGGUGAUCUGCUUAGUGACCAGAAAAUUCACUUAUAGAAGAAACUUUAUGUGCCAAUGAUUUAAACUUGUUCCACUCUAAACAGAGCACUUUCAAUGGCCCUGAAGAAUGCUGUUCAAAGUGCAGCCUUGGGGGGCAUUAGAGCCAAGGCAACAGGUCACACUCUGUUUUCCAUUCACAAUUCCCUUUGUUGCAUGUUUCAGAGUUUCUUUCUCUCUUUUUCCUAAAAGUCCCUAUACAUUCACGUUGGUGUUCUGCUAGUAUUUGAAAAUAUACCAAGAAAAUACAGAUCUUUGAGGAAAUUUCAAAUUAUUAGAGGUAAAGUAAUACUCAAAAAGAGUGUGUUAUCGGGAUACCUGGCUGGUUUAGUCGGCUGAGCAUCCAACUCUUGAUUUUGGCUCAGGUCAUGAUCUCACAGUUCAUAAGAUCCAGCCCUGCACUGUCAGUGAGGAGCCUGCUUGGGAUUCUCUCUCCCUCUCUCUCUGCUCCUUCUCCCCUGUCUCUUAAAAUAAGUAAACUUAAAAAAUAAGCGACUGUGUUCUCUCUUACAGUUCUCAGAUUAAAUUCAUCCUCUGCAUAAUCCCUUAUUGAUUAUGAAAACAAGGUUUUAUAAUCUUGUAACAGAGACAGAGCGGGAGAUCAGAAACCCAUGUAACAUUAAUUUGCAGAUAUUAGUUUGCAUGUCUUUGGAAAAUCUUUCUUAGAAAUACAGAAGUAUUCUUGUAAAAGGUGAUUAAAUUUGGGUACAUUUUUGGUUUGAUGGAUUUUUUUUUUUAUUUUUCAAGAGAUGAGACACACAAAGAUGUGACAUUGCCAUUAUCAAGUUUUGUCUGUCUUCUAUAUUGCCUUAUGAAAAACAUUUUUUCUGUUCUUUCAUAUAUUUAUGUGUGUUUAUAGUAAACCUUUAAGUCUCUCCUUAUUUCUAAAUAAUGCACACUUUCCUCUAUUUGUAAAGGGAAUUUUUGUUAGAUUUGGUUUGGUGUAUACCUUUUUUUUUUUAAUAUUCAAAGGUAAGAAAUGUAUAUUUAAGGCCAAAACUAAAUAGCCUUUUGUAGAUUGGACUCAUAUGGAAUUACAUGUUUUCAAAUUAAUGGUAAUUAAAAUAUGGCACUGGUCAAAUUGUAGCAGGAUUCUCGCAUGGAGAGUCGUGACACAGAGGCUUUUCUUUCCAGAAAGCAAAUUUAUUUGUGCUGACACUGCUCAGUUGGGUUUGUACCUGAAGAACUGAGUCCCGAACACCACAUGGCAUAAUUUUUUAUUUAUUUGUCUCCCCUACAUGGUAAUACACAAACAUGCAGUCUGAUUAAGUGGUCGUAUGUUACAAGGUCAUGAGGGAUAUUGGCACGUACGUGUGACCAGUAUGCAUAUAGCCAGGUUGCCUUGAGAUUUUUUUUUCCCUCUCCAUAGGGAGGGGAUCCUACCACAAAACCACCUCACAUAAAGCAUGAACUAAGAAAUAGAAAUUCUAGCACUUAUGAUACAUUUUUAGGAGUUUCAUUGAUUUCAGCUGUCUGCAUUUUCAUUCACAGAUUAUCCUCCAUUUAAUACCCAGUCUUUAUAUAUGCCGGUGUCCAUUUAUAUGCAUGUCUAAUCUGUGGCUAGAAGAGAUCAAGCUUUUGGGUUAGAAUGUUAACUAAAUGAAUGUAAAGAUUAUAGAUUAUAGAUAUAUAUAGAUCAUGUGUGUGAGAGAGAGAGAGGCUAAAAGCAAUGUGCAGGAUACGCAUGGUUAACAGUUUCAUAUAUGUUCAUUUGGAAUUUUUCAAAAAUAAUUUGGGAAACGUAAGAAAAAUGUUUGUUUCCAGUUACUGCUCAUCAUCUGCACUACUAAUCCUGCAGCACAAACCACUCUAAUUUCUCACCUAGAUUAGAGUAAUAACCUCCUAACUGAUAUCCCUGCAUUUUAUCCCCUUCAGAGAACAACCAGAGUCAUCAUUUUAAACAUAGUAUUACUGUUCUGUUCAAAAAUGCCCAAUGGCUUCAUAACCUACUGACAAUAAAAUACGAGGUUCUCAAUAUGGCCCAAAAUAUUUUACAUAGUCUAGCCCUUGAUAAUUCCCCUUCCUUGUCUUCUACCAUUUAUCUCUCACUUGUUAUUUCCAGCUACAUAGACCCUUGUGGCUGUUCUUCAAGAACCACCAGCAGGUUUCUGUUUAAAUGCUUUUCUUCUAAUAGCCCAUGACAUACUCUCUGCUCUUUUCUUUUUCAUUUUUGCUCAAAUUUCCACCUCCUUACAGCCUUCUUUAACAAUCCAUUUGAUUAACAAACCAUAGGCAUACCUCCAAGAUACUGUGGAUUUGGUUACAGAUCACUGCAAUAAAAUGACUAUCACAAUAAAGCAAGUCAAAUGAAUUUUUGGGAUUCCCAGUGCAUAUGAAGAUACGUUUAUACUAUCCUGUAGUCUUUUGAAUGUGCAACAGCAUUAUGUCUAAGAAAAUAAUGUGCAUACCUUAAUUUAAAAAAAUCCUUUCUUGCUAAAAAUGCUAAUCAUCAUUUGAGCUUUCAGCAAGUUGUAAUCUUUUUGUACGUGGAAGGUCUUUCCUUGAUAUUGAUGGCUGCUGACUGAUGAGGGUGCUGGUAGCUAAGGUGGGGUGGCUAUGGCAAUUUCUUAAGCUAAGACAACAGUGAAGUUUGCUGCAUCGAUUGACUCUUCCUUUCACAAACAAUUCUGUGUAGCAAGUGAUGCUGUUUGAUAGCAUUAUACCACAGUAGAACUUCUUUCAAAAUUGGAGUCAAUCCUGCCAAAUCCUGCAUUGGCUUUAUCAACUAAGUUUAUGUGAUAUGGUAAAUGCUUUCUUGUUGUUUCAACAGUCUUCAUAUCAUCUUCGUCAGGAGUAGAUUCUAUCUCAUGAAACCACUUUCUAAAAAAUAAAGAAAACCAAAAAGCAAAAACAAACAAACAAACAAAAACUCUUUGCUCAUCCAUAAAAAGCAACUCCUAAUCUGUGAAAGUUUUACCAUGAGAUUUAAGCAAUUCAGUCCCCUCCGCUGGUUCUCUUGCUAUUUCCACCACCUCUGCAGUUACUUCUUCCACUAAAGUCUUGAACCCCUCAAAGUCAGCCAUGAGUUUUGGAAUUAACUUCUUCCAAAGGCCUGUUAAUGUUAUUUUGACAUCUUCCCAUGAAUCACAAAUUUUCUUAAUGGCAUCUAGAAUGGUGAGUCCUCUCUGGAAAGAUUUUUAUUUCCUUUGCCCAGAUCCAUUUGAGGAACCACCAUGGAUCGCAGCUACAGUUUUACAGAAUUUAUUUCUUAAAUAAUAAGAUGUGAAAGUAGAAAUGACUCCUUGAUAAGAAUGGAUAUUGUGUUAGCAAGAAUGAAUACAACAUUAAUCUCAUUGUAUAUCUCCAUCAGAGCUCAUGGGUGACCAAAUGCAUUGUCAAUCACCAGUAAUAUUUUGAAAGAAAUAUUUUUUCCUCCUGAGCAGUAGGUCUCAACAGUGGGCUUAAAAUAUUCAGUAAACUAUGUUGUAAACAGACAUGCGGUCAUCCAGGCUUUGUUCCAUUUAGAGUGCAGGCAGAGUAGAUUUAGCAUAAUUCUUAAAAGCCCUAGGAUUUUCAGAAUGGUACAUGAGCAGUAGCUUCCACUUAUAGUCACCAGCUGCAUUAGCCCCUAACAAGAGUCAGACUGUCCUUUGGAGCUUUGGAGCCAGAUUUCUCCUCUAUAGGUAUGAAAGUCCUGGAGGACAUCUUCAAACAGAAAGCUAUUUUGUCUACGUUGAAAAUCUGUUGUUUCUAGUAGCCACCCUUGUUAAUGAUCUCAGCUAGACCUUCUGGAUCACGUGUCGCAGCUCCUCCAUCAGCACCUGCUGCUUCACUUUGCACUUGUCUGUUAGGGACACGGCUUCUUUCCUUAAAUCUCAUGAAUCAACCUCUCCCGCCUUCCAACUUUUCUUCUGCAGUUUCUUUACUUCUCUUGGCCUUCACAGAAUUGAAGAGAGUUAGGGUCUUGCUCUGGAUUAGACUUUGUUUUAAUGGAAUAUAGUGGUUGGUUUGAUCUUCUAUCCACACCAAACUUUCUCCAUAUCAGCAAUAGGCUGUUUUGCUUUCUUAUCAUUUGUGUGUUUACUGAAGUAGCAUUUUUAAUAUCCUUCAAGAACUUUUCCUUUGCAUGGUGAACUCAGGUAACUGGAGCAAGAGGUCUAGUUUUUAGUCUGUCUUGAGUUUCAGCAUGCUUUCCACACUAGGCUUAAUCAUUUCUAGCUCUUGAUUUCAGGUGAGAGCCAUGAGACUCUUCCUUUCAUUUAAACACUUAGAAGCCACUGUUGGGUUAUUAAUUGACCUAAUUUUAAUAUUGCUGUGUCUCAGGUAAUAGGCGGGCUUCAGAUGGGGGAACAAUUGGUCAGUGGAGCAAUCAGAAAACACAGAGGCUGGCUGUCUCAAUCUGUGGGGCAUGAGACUCUUGAGCGCAGGGUUGUGGGUUCGAGCCCCAUGCUGGGUGUAGAGAUUACUUAAAACUAAUAAAAAUCUUAAAAAAAAGAUACAUGAUAUUUAUAAAUUAUGUUCUCUGUCUUAUACGGGUGUGGUUCAUGAUGUCCCAAAAAUAAUUUUAGGAGUAACACCAAAAAGAUCACUGAUCACAGCUCACCAUAACAAAUAUAAAAAUAAUGAAAAAGUUUGAAAUAUUGCGAGAAAUACCAAAUGUAACACAGAGACACAAAGUGAGCAAAUGCUGUUGGAAAAAUGGUGCCUAUAGACUCAUUCUAUGUGGGGUUGCCAUAAACUUUCAAUUUGUAAAAAAAAAAAAAACAAAACACAAUAUCUGCAAAGUGCAAUAAAAUGAGGUAUGUCUGUAUUUAUUAACUCUUAUCAACACUUAUUACACUGUUUAAUUUGCUUUAUAACCCUUCACAGUUUUCAUCUGGCAACAUAUUAUAUAUUGUAUAUUUCCUACCUUUAUAACUUGAUUUCCAUGGUGAGCAGAACAACUUAUUUGUUUUGUUCAUAGCUGUUAAUAGUAGAAGUGUUUGACACAUGUUAGUGCUUCAAAAAUAAUUUCUGAAUAGAUGAAUAGGUCCUUAUGCUGAAGAAACAUAUUGAAGAUCACAUGUUCAGACACCCCAUACCUCUAGAUUUCUCUUAAUCCAAUAUGUAAUAUAAUAUAUUAUACAUUGAAAGAUGUGGAAAAUAAAAUAAUUCAUUGACAAAACACUAGAGGGAUGUUUUUUUAACCUAGACCAGGGGUUGGUUUCUGGAUUGUAUUAGCACCACCUAGAAACUAAGAAUUAUUUUCUUUUAAUGUUUUAAUGGUUAAAACACUUCAAAAGGGAGAUAAUAUAUUUUGGCAAAUUAAAACUAUAUGAAACUCUACUUUCAGUAGAAACAUACAUAAAGUUUUUUGAAACAGACACGUUCAUUUGUUUAUACACUGUCUUUGUCAACAUCAGAGUUAAGGAGUUGUACCCAAAACUAAAUGGCUCACAAAGCCUAAAAUGUGUAUUACUUGGCACUUUAGAGAAAAAAAAAUAUUUACUAACUCUUGGUUUGGAGACAUUCAGAUGAUUCAUACCUAGCCUAAGUAAAGUCAAUUUUUAUAUCAUCUCUUCAUUUUGGAUAUUCAUCUUCUUUGCCAUACUGUUGUAAGCACAAAUUUGGAUUCCAGUUUAAGUAUCAGAUAACCAGUAGGAGUUGUCAUUUUUAGGAGUAUUGCUAAUUUUCAUCAUUGUGAUCGCAGUCCAUGAUUAUAAUAGGUUGAUUGAAAUGAGAUAUCAUAUAGCUAAUAGAAACAAUUCAAAGAUACAAAAUAUCUCCCAAACAUCUGUCAUUUAACUACCAUCAUAUCAAUAAUCUAUACACUGGGGAUUAAAAAAAAAAAGCAAACAUGCAACAAUACCAAAAGAUUGCUGCUAUUUUUCUUUCCUUUACUAGGGAAAUAAUUGUGGCCAGCUUUAAUAAUUCAUUCCACAGGAACAAGUGUUGGAGAGUGAUUCAGAGAGUAACUUUGAGAUUGAGAAUUACAGAUCCACUUUUUGCAAAAGUAUAUGUUCCACCUUCUAUUUUAGUAUUUAUUUAUGUCCUAUGACACUGUUAUGGUAUUUGAAAUGAACCAUGUUUAAAUUUGGUAUACUGCCUGUGAUCCACGACCUGUUACUUAGACAUUGUGACAAAUGCAUUGUUUCGCAGAGCCUACACUGUUCUAUUUACUUUGAGAAUACCUUAGUCCCUUUAACAUAAUUUCACAACAUUUAUUAUGAGCCCUUGGUGUUGUAUGUAAGCCAAUUUGACAACAAGUUAUAUUAAAAAAUAUUUAUUACAGUGUUGUACAUCUUUCCCUGAGACUAUUACCUUUUUCUAAAAAUAUAUGGAUUGCUAAAAUUCUACACUUAUAGGUGCUUCCAUUUUAAUUUCUCCUAUUGCCUCCAUAAGAACUCUGACAAAGAUUUUGUAGGUGGGGGUGUAGGGUGAGGAAUAAGCUCUAUUGAGCUUAUUCACCAGAGUAGAAAUAAUGUCUGCACAGAACCAAAUGUUUGUUACUAUAACUUCUGCAUCAUAAUUAAAAUACAAACUAAAAAAAAAUAGUUCAGAAUCAGUGGCUUCUUCGAAGCCAUAAUAACACUUAAAAAUGGUUAAGACUGAAAUAUAAAACUUUUAUUGGUUGGAAAGCUAAUGAAACUUGUUCAAAUAGAAUUACAAAAGGGAAAACUUACGUUUUCCACAGAGAUACAAUCCCUGGAAAUCACCAACACUGGGCAGUUGUGAGGUUAUUUACAGUCCGGAGAUAAUAAGGAAUCCAGUUAUCCUAAAGACCAUCUUCUGUUAUCUUGUUUUCCCUAUGUUGUGCUGAAUGGCAACAACUGUAGCUUUGAUGACAGAGUCCAAUCUUCCUCUCCACGGAGAGCAAGAUGCAACUGACAAGGAGUAAUUGCUCUUUUCCUUUAAGUCUUUUGAUGAGGUACCUGCCUUUAUGGUGAGGUACUUCAAGAUGGCUGCACGGUACACAGGGGCAGUCAUACCCACAUGUCAAUGGCUAGUCUUCCUAAAUUUCAGGUGCCAUGAACAUAAUAUGGCCAACCAAGAACUGUAAGCUGGUCUCUGCGAGCAGGAAACCAGCUUGGCCUUGGCCUUUCCAGGGUCAUUCUCAGGCUUAUUAUCAGCCCUUUCAAAUUCUGCUGAAGCUCCAAUCAGCAAGACAGAGAGAGGGCUAGGAUUCAAACUGCCAGAU
This 8345-nucleotide long non-coding RNA is filed under the name Lynx pardinus (Iberian lynx). Lineage: Eukaryota; Metazoa; Chordata; Mammalia; Carnivora; Felidae. The record is from RNAcentral.